RNAcentral lists this unclassified non-coding RNA (324 nucleotides) under Hevea brasiliensis (rubber tree). The record is from RNAcentral. Lineage: Eukaryota; Viridiplantae; Streptophyta; Magnoliopsida; Malpighiales; Euphorbiaceae.
CUUGGUAUCUGAUAUUGUUAGGAUGCUGAUGAAUUAUGAGGUCGAGUUUAUAAGCAGGCCAGCUUCUCUGCACUUUGGUCUUGUGCGUAGCUCUUGUUGCAAUUAUUUGACCAAAUUCCAGAGUUUCAAGUUUCAUGCUGUACUUCUUAUUGUGCAUCAAUGUAAUAUGUUUAUUUAUAUUUAUCCCCUUAAUCAUUAAAGUAUUUAUCUCAUUCUGAGGAUGAUGAGUUACCUUGUACAAAAAUGAGUUGCCUUGUACAAAAACAAAGUGUAAGUAGAUAAAGAGUCAUGAGGCACAUGAGCACAUUCUUGAAGAAGCAUUGC